Poecile atricapillus (Black-capped chickadee) is the source of this 430-nucleotide long non-coding RNA. RefSeq lists it as uncharacterized. NCBI's taxonomy places the organism in Eukaryota, Metazoa, Chordata, Aves, Passeriformes, Paridae. The record is from RefSeq and is a predicted model, not a curated record. The transcript is spliced from 5 exons.
AGCAGCUCCAGGUGAGGGGUUCCAGGUGAGAGCGGCCAGGUGAGGUUCAGGUGAGGAGGUCCAGGUGAGGAGUUCCAGUUGAAGAUUCCAGGUGAGGGGUUCCAGGUGAGAGAGGCCAGGUGAGCAGCUCCAGGUGAGAAGUUUCAGGUGAGGGGUUCCAGGUGAAGUGUUCCAGGUGAAGAUUCCAGGUGAGGUCCAGGUGAGGGGUUCCAGGUGAUCUCCAGGCUCCUCCAGGUGAGUUCCAGGUGAGCUCCACCAGGUGAAGAGUUCCAGGUGAGCUCCAGGUGAGCUCCAGGUGAGCUCCACCAGGUGAGUUCAGGGGCCGUCGUCCAUCAGCUGCAGCGCCUCGGCCUCACCAGGUGAGGGGUUCCAGGUGAGGGAUUCCAGGUGAGGGGUUCCAGGAGAAGGAUUGCAGGUGAUCUCCAGGCUC